Long non-coding RNA from Sinocyclocheilus rhinocerous, 556 nucleotides. RefSeq lists it as uncharacterized. The transcript has 2 exons. Lineage: Eukaryota; Metazoa; Chordata; Actinopteri; Cypriniformes; Cyprinidae. The record is from RefSeq and is a predicted model, not a curated record.
CUUCUUGGAGGAUCCAGAGGCCUCAGAGGUCGCUGGUCUCUUCUCUACUGCAGGAGUGGACAGCGCUCUCUUUUUAAAGGGCUCUCGCUCUCUCAGCAGAGCUUUAUCCAUCCUACACACACACAUACACACACACACACACAAGACAGUUAAUCAUUGCAUUCGAAAGCGUUUAUACAUGUAUAUAAAUGAACUUAUUUUCAUCAAUGACAUUAUAAAUAGGCUAAUGCUAGCAAUUACACCAGGGCUCAACAUUACUACAUAAAUGCUAUAGCAGGUUGGUGCAAGCCAAAACUAUGAAUCAGUGCAACGAUUGACAAAAAUGAUGACAAAAUAUAACCAUAAAUCAGUGCACUUUACACUAAACUAUCAGCUGAAAAUAUAACCACAACAUCUGCCGAGAUGAUAUACCCUAUUAGUCAAAGGUUUGGACGCAUUUAUUUAUUUUACCAAUAAUAUUACGAAUAACAGUAAAGCCAUAAUCAUAAUCAGCCAGUUCUCAUGCGAUAGAUACGCUGGCUGCUUUUCAUUCGAUAUCUGGCCCAACUAAUUUAUU